UUCCCUUCUUUCUUUCUGCAUCUCUCUUUUAUACUUCCCUUGUACUAUGGCUAUGUUCAUACCUUCAUUUUGCUUGCUUUUAUCAUAAUAAUUGUGAUCAUUGGUUUUAUCUUCAUCAUCUGCUAGUUGCGACAGAAUAUAGCGUUUCUGCCUUCAUCUGAAAUUUUAGGUUAGCAGGCAUCACAUUGGACCUAGCAACUCUGCUCUUACGACUCAUGUCAGUGCCUAACGAGGACAAAAUGGCUUCUCAUGCUCAGCUUUCAUCUCAUUUUUUUGGGGAUCUCCUUGAUUCCAUUAUUGUUGAUGUGGCAUCUCAGUGCCAUCGAAUAGCAAGGUUGGGCCUUGAUCGUAAUUUGGAAGAAGAGGAAGAAGUCGAAGUACCAGUCGAAGGAGACCCUUUCUCAUAUCCAUUUUUUAUCCUUGGCCUUGGGAGUGGCGAUGGAUGACAGCUUUAUUCAACUUCUCGUUGGCGUGCCUGACUUACUUUCAUUCUUUCCUCAUUUUUUUUUUUCCUUUUACACUUUUUUUUCUUGUCCACUCUUUGUUUUCUUUUUGUCUCUUCUUUCUCUCUAUUCUUAUGUCUUCAAGUGAGAGCCCUAUGAUAAGCUGGACUUAGUUA
Long non-coding RNA from Juglans regia (Persian walnut), 619 nucleotides. RefSeq lists it as uncharacterized. NCBI's taxonomy places the organism in Eukaryota, Viridiplantae, Streptophyta, Magnoliopsida, Fagales, Juglandaceae. The transcript is spliced from 2 exons. The record is from RefSeq and is a predicted model, not a curated record.